This is a long non-coding RNA of Passer domesticus (house sparrow), 3401 nucleotides long. RefSeq lists it as uncharacterized. NCBI's taxonomy places the organism in Eukaryota, Metazoa, Chordata, Aves, Passeriformes, Passeridae. The record is from RefSeq and is a predicted model, not a curated record. The transcript is spliced from 2 exons.
AAAGGCACCGGCGCCGCGCUGCAUCCUGGGAGAUGUAGUCCGGCGGCUGUGAGGGGCCGCGGGGGCAGGGAUCGGGAUGGCACGGCACUGUGUCUGUGCCCAGAGACCUGGGAGCGGGGCUCGCUCCCAAAACUACAGCAGUUCAGGUUGCCGCGGGGCCGCGUCUGUGUGCGGCAGGUUGGCACACCUGCGUGGCGCAGCCGGUGUGGAUGCGCAGCCCGGUGAGCCCGACCGUGAGCCCGUACCGCCGGCACGGUGCCACCACCCCUGUGGCAUCCGCUGCCUGCAGCUGUGCAGCGUGCAGCGAGCAGAUGUCCAUCAAAUUUAACCCAUGCAAAAAUACCUAUAUGGACACACAGAGAAACUGAGGCAACCAUGGUGAGGGAUGAAUUUGCCCCAUGCUCUAACACAUCAGCAGUGUGCAGGUAAGAACACUGAAGGAAGGGAAGGGAGCUGCUCCAUCUGUAUGGGUAACACCAUUGUAGGGCAUACGUGGGCAGUUUUGGGGGCUGUCAAUGCUAUUUUUUCCUCUCAGCAAAUUACCCAGUAAAUCUGAAGAAAUAAGCUUAAGAAAUUCAAUAUGGACUGUGGACAAAAGCCUUUGAGCAUCCUUGCAGCCAUUUGGAUAAUUUAUGUGGAAGGAUUCUGGAAAAAAAAACUGCUAUGGAUAGCUGCUCUUUGUAAGAGGUCACCACAAAAAGAGCAGUGAAGAGUAUCAAAGGCUCAAAUAAUGAUGUCACCUUCCUCCCUGGAUCAGAGCUGAAGCUCAGGGAACUUUAGACCAUGAGGGUCUUUGAAGCUUUAUUUGAGGAACCAUAAGAAGAAAACCAUACUUUUCCCAGAGCUCGUUGUAACUUCACCAACUGCAAUACAGAGAAAGAUUGCCCAGUUGCGUCACUGCAAUCACCUCACACACUUUACCAGCACUACUAAAAACUCUCAGUGGCCCUGACCAGCCUCACCUGGGGCUUCCCCCCACAUCUGUGGACCUGGGAUGGUUAUCAGUCCCUGCUGACCCACGAGAAGUGUUUAUUUCUGGUUCAGUUGCAGCCUAUGGAGUCUUUGGGUCUGGGUUUCACUCACAGGUUGGCUCCUUAGCUCUGUCCCCAUGUACUCUGAGUAGGUAUUUUGUUCUGGGUGAGUUGGCUCUAGAAAUAAUCAUUCAGGUUAUACCAUUUUUUGGCAAAGCUAAAAUGAAACUAAUCCAUUGGCUUUGAGAAAUGUUUGUGAAAGACUAUCGAAAAUACAGUAUAUCAACAGCUGAUGUUGAAGACUGAAAGGAAAAGUAGGAUUUAUGUUGCCAGUAAAGGAGCUCAUACAGUACAAAGGCUCAUGCAUGACUUCUUUGCAGGUGUUCUUUCCUAUGCUGUCUAGUUUCAUUUUUCUGUGAAACUCAUAUUUAGUUCUUAGGAAACGUGGUCCUUUGGGGGGUUUGGCCUAAUUGAAAUCUUAAAGGGCAAAACUGGCCAGGAGGGAUGAGGGGAGCUAAUAGGGUGCCCUCCAGGUACACAAGAAAGGAAUAAAGGGAAUGAUGGAAUUGGUAAAACAUGCAGAAAUAUUGGCGACCUUUACAUGAAUCAAUAUUACCGUAAAACAGAGAUGCACAGAAUCUGCUCCAGCUUCUUUGUCCUGCAGAGAUAUUUCUAAGCAAAUGAUCUCCCGUGUGUGCCUGCAGCGUCACCCUGAAGCACUCAUUUGCAGUGUGAAGUCUGAACGCUUCUGCAGCCGCUCAGCCCAGAGUCUGACCUCGAGCAUCCCAGGCAGCGAGGCUUGGAUGUUCUGCAGCGUUACAAACCUGCACCUCCCGCUGAUGAAAAAGAGAACUGCAGGCACUCGGAAUCGCUCCUCGAGCCUUCCAUUUUCUCUCCUGCCACAAACUGAGUUGCAAGGAUGUUCUCAGCAAACGUACCUUUUGAUUCUGUGAUACCUGUGACUUACUCAGCAGCAUGCAGCAGACAGAGCAAGAAAAACAAAAGGUAUUUCAGUAACUGGAAUAAAUAGGAAAAAUCUUUUUUUUUUUUUUUAACUUAGUAGAAAAACUGAAGAUGUGAGCAAAGAAAAACAAGAGGGAUGAAAGGUUUCCUCCCCCCUCCCUCUGGUGCUAUAAAUAUUUCUGAAUGUACUUUAACAUGAAUCCCUAAAAAUGCAUGUGGCCAAGCAUAUGUGUGUUUCUAUGUAUGGCUAUCAACAUAACCACAGUUGUGUAUGCUGAUUUUGUCACCUCAUGCAAAUAGGACUCCCAGUUUAGUUAGCAUAAUUAGAAAUAGACAUUUGAGAGCUGGAUUCUGUCCUUCAUUCCUUGCCCUUGCAAAAAUAACAUAUCUAGUCCUCAGAGGAAAAAAAGAGGCAAAAAUGUGGAAUGCAAUUAGCUUAUGAAUCUCUAAGUUACUUGCAAACUGUUUCUGCUGACUCCAGAUAGUGUGAAUGUUUAGAAUAUUUCACUGUGGGUCUUGAAGUGGAUAAUUCUGGUCUUUUGAGUUCCUAAAAAUGGUUAUAAACAGAGUAAGAAUUUAAAUUGAAUGUUUAAAAGCAGAGGUUAAAAGUUCCAAAAAGAAAGUGGCCUAGUAUUGUCAUUGUCCUUACUAAUACUACAUGAUACAGCUGAUCAACAGUUAAAAAUAUUAACUAAAAUUAGCCUCUUAAAUUUCCAUAACUAUCUAAAGCUGCCUAUAGAGAUAGAAAAUGCUUAUGUAUUUAUUUUAUAGGUACUUAAGUGCUACUACAGUAGCAAUGGUACCAUAGAAACAUCAUCCAUCUUUUGUGGUAUCAGUUGCUCAGAGAAAAAAAGUUGAUUUCUAAUGCUCCUAUUAACUGCAAAAGCUAUUUGAAAGAAAAGCAGCCUUUAAUUUUUGAGUUUUCAAAUAGAAUGCUUUUCUUUGUAGAAUAACAGUAAAAUGCUUCAUCAUCUUCUGUGCUUAAGCUGAAUUGGUGUGCAAUCCCCCCAAAAGAGGUAAAAGAAGGUAAAUCUGGUGUAUAAGACACUAGGACAGUAUUAUUGUUAAUAUGACUCUCCAGAAGCCAGAGUAUACAUAAGGAAAUAAAGAAGCUGAAUGUUAUACUCCAUUAAGAAUGGAAUCUGCACAAGGAUGUGAGUUUAAAUUAAUAUUUUAAGAGCAACAAAGCUGAGUUCUCUGUGCUUUCUGCAUCUAGUGAGAUGUCAUAAAAUAGCUCCUGGUAUGUAUUUUACCUUGUGAGACUGAAAAUCACUAACAGGAGCUGAUUGACCAUGUGGUAAAAUGGAUAUAAAAACUAUCUUUACCUCUUUGUGGGCCUGUCCUGCCCAUCAAGAAAUACCAGGAACAGGUUUCUAGAACUAUAUUACAAAGAAUGAGGAAAAACAUCCUUUAAUUCACAGAUCAUUUUGGUUUGAAAUGUUGUGUGAAUCCAGUCAUCCUCCAGAU